Long non-coding RNA from Corvus hawaiiensis (hawaiian crow), 720 nucleotides. RefSeq lists it as uncharacterized. NCBI's taxonomy places the organism in Eukaryota, Metazoa, Chordata, Aves, Passeriformes, Corvidae. The record is from RefSeq and is a predicted model, not a curated record. The transcript has 3 exons.
AGAAGACCUAAUGGCCUUCCUGUCAGAAUCUUUAAAUUAAAAAAUUCAAAUCUUCUCACUAUCGGCUGUGACUUCAGAGACAAGGAAAUCAAUUACUUCAAUUCAGCUGAGGAUGCGAAGAGCUGCUGUUCAUCAUGGAAGAAGUAGACGUUUGCAUUUUUGUGAAGGCAUCUUCCGAGGCCACGUUCCCAGUCUGUUCCCUUGGGUGGGAUAAGUGCACAUGCCCAAGGAGGUGUUGGUGAAGGAGAGACUCAUGGCAGCCAAAGGCAACCACCAUCUGAGCUCAGCUUCACCUCCUUCAUAGCCCAUGAAGAGAAACAGUGAAUUCUGGAGUGUGAAGCAUCUGCCCUAAUGUAGCCAUCUGUCUUGGGAUGAGACGGAUCACAGCCCUAUUGCUCUAGAUUGACUGUAAUGGGAGAGUAUCACAAUUAGUGGGAUGGAUGGCAAUACUUUGGAGCCUAAUGGUGGACAGGAUGGACACCUCCUUUGAUUACUUGUGUUGGAGGAGAAGCUGCUUCUACUAUGUGACAUGUCUGAAAAGGAUCACUGACAGCUUUGGCUUCAAGUGUGCAUGAAAAUCUAUCUAUUCUCCUGGAUGGCUGGUGGCACAGUGAUCUCAAGGCUGGAAAAAAAUCCUGACGCAAAAUAAAUACCUAAAAAUGGGCAGAGACGUAUUUAUGGGGCUGAGAGUGGAUUCACUCAGUCCUUUUUGAAUAUACU